Corvus hawaiiensis (hawaiian crow) is the source of this 716-nucleotide long non-coding RNA. RefSeq lists it as uncharacterized. NCBI's taxonomy places the organism in Eukaryota, Metazoa, Chordata, Aves, Passeriformes, Corvidae. The transcript is spliced from 5 exons. The record is from RefSeq and is a predicted model, not a curated record.
UCUCAGUGCCUGUGGGCAGGGCAGCAGUCCCUGGCUGCCAUACCUUGGGGAGGUAGUUCUGCUGUUUCAGCUUUCUUGGCAGCAUUCUGAAGUUGGUGGUGUUUGCAGACCUUCUCCAAGCUGAGCUCCUGAUCUUCCCUGCCAACCAAAUGUGCCUAUGGAUCUCACCAAGACCAGGGAGGAUGCAGCGGGAGCAGGACUGCAGCACGUGAUUGUGUGUGCAAGGGAAGGGCCAGCAGAGCACAGCUUUGCUUCUCAUUUUAUCCCUACACAAAACACCUCCUGGGACCAUCGUUUCUGGUGACUCCAUCCUGCGGAGCAACAGCAAAACAAGCACCUACGUGCCUGCCAGGAGGUGCAAGCCAGCCAGGACUCGGAAGAAAAACGGGAUUGGUGAGGAUGGAAGAAGGGAGCAGGUGGGGAUGCCAGGGGUGAGCUUCAUCUGCCACGGGAGGGAGAAGUUGGGACCAUGCCCAAAGGAAAGAUACUCCAGAGCUGCCCUGUAAUCCCUGAAUCCUACUGAAUUCACACCCUGGUGAUAUAUCAAUGUCAAAGGGAUGCAACUGGUAAUUCUGCCUGGCUGGUAAACUGCCUCGUGUCACCCUGUUUCCAAUGGCUGCUGUCAAGUUUUCUUCAUUUUAAGGAAAUUUUCUGGGCCCCUCUGUCUGCCCAUUCCCGGUAGAGCUGAUGUCGCUGAUGUGAAUAAAAUCAAUACU